Molecule: non-coding RNA, 184 nt
Organism: Idiomarina sp. A28L
Lineage: Bacteria; Pseudomonadati; Pseudomonadota; Gammaproteobacteria; Alteromonadales; Idiomarinaceae
Rfam family: 6S / SsrS RNA
About the family: E. coli 6S RNA was the first non coding RNA to be sequenced, but its function was unknown until recently. It consists of 184 nucleotides that fold into an extended hairpin structure with a large single-stranded internal bulge.
Source: Rfam
UGUUCUCUGGGGUGUUUGCCAGCAUGUGCAUGUCCCUGAGCCGAUACCGUUAGACCAGGGUCCUGUCGAGCUACCAGUGCGCAAGCCCACCAUGCAGUGGGAAGCCUGCGGUAGUUUGUUCAGCACCCGCCUUGAACCUUUGGGUUCAAGGGCUACCACGAUGCAGCGGCACCUUGGAGAACAC